UUGUGUUGGCAGGAAUGUAUGCUGGAUCCUUUUCCGUGUCCGUGUCCUCAUCGUUUAACCUGAAGCUAGGGGCACCAGAUUUUGACUUGCCCUGUUUUGAGUAGGUGACUAGCUUCUUGGGUGCCAUCGUACCUGUGGAAGCGAUAUUAGUGCCAAAACUAACCAUAAACACACUAAAAAAAAAUUAGAACUAUAAACGAAUAGUAACAACGU
This 213-nucleotide long non-coding RNA is filed under the name Solanum tuberosum (potato). RNAcentral describes it as "long non-coding RNA (STUB_LNC008948)". The record is from RNAcentral. Lineage: Eukaryota; Viridiplantae; Streptophyta; Magnoliopsida; Solanales; Solanaceae.